GGUAUCUCCAAGGAUGGUCAGACCCGUGAGCACGCUCUUCUUGCUUUUACCCUUGGUGUCAAGCAGAUGAUUUGCUGCUGUAACAAGAUGGAUGCUACUACCCCCAAAUACUCCAAGGCUAGGUACGAU
Non-coding RNA from Camelina sativa (false flax), 129 nucleotides. Lineage: Eukaryota; Viridiplantae; Streptophyta; Magnoliopsida; Brassicales; Brassicaceae. The record is from RefSeq and is a predicted model, not a curated record.